RNAcentral lists this transfer RNA (65 nucleotides) under Paraglaciecola arctica. It matches the Rfam family "tRNA". From Rfam's summary of the family: Transfer RNA (tRNA) molecules are approximately 80 nucleotides in length. Their secondary structure includes four short double-helical elements and three loops (D, anti-codon, and T loops). Lineage: Bacteria; Pseudomonadati; Pseudomonadota; Gammaproteobacteria; Alteromonadales; Alteromonadaceae. The record is from RNAcentral. RNAcentral also lists the same sequence under 1 other name.
GGUAUAGCCAAGUGGUAAGGCAACGGGUUUUGAUCCCGUCAUUCGUUGGUUCGAGUCCAGCUACC